This is a long non-coding RNA of Macrobrachium nipponense, 867 nucleotides long. RefSeq lists it as uncharacterized. NCBI's taxonomy places the organism in Eukaryota, Metazoa, Arthropoda, Malacostraca, Decapoda, Palaemonidae. The transcript is spliced from 4 exons. The record is from RefSeq and is a predicted model, not a curated record.
GAAGACAGAAGUUUGUUUGGCAGGAGCCGUUCACUGCUGCUGACAGCGAUCAGCUGAUGGCUGAACUGAGCGAGAGAUGCGUUUCACUCAGACACACACAGCAGGUGGUUGUAAGCCAUGACCUUGCUGCUGUUACUGCGUCUUCUGUAACUGGAGCAUACUAAACACUUGCAAAAUCGAAGAGUGGAGAUGAGCCUUGAGCCCGGCAGUCCUCCUUCAUAGAUCUGAAUUUGCCUGAUCAGCUGCCGGAUACCUUAUCUACCUAUGUCCCACCUUCAGAGAUAUUCAGGUGGUGGUUGGCCAGAAUAUGAUCUAGCCAAAACAACUGCCAGAGACAAAUUGUUUGUGGCCUUACCUGAAGGCCUGAUUAGUGGCCAGUUCAGUACUGCAGAUGAUGAGGUCAAAAGAUUUGAAGCUAGAACCAAGGAAAAAAUAAAGUCUUUACCCCAAGUUUAAUGCAUCUAUGUUGCCUCUUCCGCUUUGGAGAAAGCUUCAAAAGGCCUUGAACCCAGGAGCGGAGUCCUCAGAAGAAGACCAGACCCCGGCGAGGUCAGACACCUGGGUCCUUACCAGACGCCACUGUCCCCUCUCCCCUCCUCCUGGGCCUGGCUUUCCUAUGCUUUGGGAAGCCCAAGUAUAUUAUAAAACUCCAUAGUGCCGAGACAUCACGGAGAAGAAUUCCAGCCUCAUACAUAAGACAAACGCUGUGCUUGGCUGUGGUAGAAAUUGGAAAUCCCUCGAAGCUUGCAAUUUUGAUCCGUUGUGCAAUUUUCCUAAAACGCUGUGGCUGGACUGCUCCCUCCAUGUGCUCGGGUGGACUGAAAGGCGGUCCCUGCCCCUUGUGUUCCAGGACCUCUGUAAAUUUCU